Molecule: long non-coding RNA, 3922 nt
Organism: Aedes albopictus (Asian tiger mosquito)
Lineage: Eukaryota; Metazoa; Arthropoda; Insecta; Diptera; Culicidae
Exons: 2
Source: RefSeq, a predicted model, not a curated record
AUACGCCCAGUGCAUUUCGCAAGCUUGACGUAAGUCUGACAUCAGUCUUACGGUCAGUCUUACAGAGCUUGACAUCAGACUGAUGUAAGACUGACGGUCAGUCUGAUGUCAAACGAUUCUGCACCGUUUGCGUCAAGCUGUCGGGCUUCGAACAUGCGAGCUGGAGUUCGACGAAUCAGACUGACGUAAGCCUGAUGUCAAGCUAGAACGUCGAACCCUUGUCAAGCUCGUUUUUACGGGUUUCUUCUUCUUUUUUGUAUUGAUUUUGUGAUUUCAGCACCAACAUUUCAAAAGCACGUAACUGUUUUUGUAAACAAGAGCGCGAUUACUCUUGUUUACAAAAACAAUUACGAGCUUUUGAAAUGUUGGUGCUCAAUGAUUAAAACAGCAAGAAACCUGCAAGAAACUUUAUUUUAUUUAUUUAAAAUAAUAUAAUAAUAUUUAGGUGAAUAAGUAACUUAACAUUUAUAGAUAUACCGUGAGGGUCUCGAGAGAAGAGUUGGUAAUUCUUUGAGAUACAGGGGGGAAUGCACAUAAAGAUUCCACGAAUAAACUGGAGAUCUUUGGCAUUAUUAAAAAUAAUCCUUUUAUAUCUGAACAUUUCUAGAGAAUAUAAUGAUUCUUGGGUAUACCAAAAUGAUUCUUAGGAUUCCAGAAAAUGUAAGCUUGCCAUUCUCAGGAAAAGCUGAAGACGUUUGUUCCCGGCCAUUUCUAUAAACUCCCUCGAGAAUUCCUCGAAAAUUCUUCCAUAUUUUCCUCUGGAAUUCUUCCAGAAGUUCCUCGGCAGUUCUUCCAGAAGUUCAUCGGGAAUUCUUCCAGAAGUUCAUCGGGAAUUCUUCAAGAAGUUCCUCUGGAAUUCUUCCUCAUAUUCCAACGGAAUCCUUCCAGAAGUUCUUUGGGAGUUCUUCCAGAAGUUCCUCGGAAAUUCUUCCAGAUUUUCCUCCGGAAUUCAUCCAUAAGAUUCUCGGGAAUUAUUUCAAAAGCUCCUCGGGAGUUCUUCCAGAAGUUCCUUCAGAAUUCUUCCAGAAGUUCCUCGGGAAUUCUUCCUCAUAUUCCGGGAAUUCUUCCAGAAGUUCCUCGGGAAUAAUUUCAAAAGCUCCUCGGGAAUCCUUCCAAAAUUUCCUCGUGAGUUCUUCCGUAAGUACCUUGGGGAUUGUUCCAGCAGUUCCUGAGUUCUUCCAGAAGUUCCUCGAAAAUUCUUCCAUAUUUUCCUCUGGAAUUCUUCCAUAAAAUUCUCGGAAAUUAUUUCAAAAACUCCUCGGGAGCAAUUCCUGAAGUUCCUCGGGAAUUCUUCCAGAAGUUCCUCAAGAAUUCUUUCAGAAGUUGUAGGGAAUUCUUCUAGGAGUUCCUCGGGAAUUCUUCCAGAAGUUCCUCGGGAAUUCUUCCAGAAGUUCCUCGAGAAUUCUUCCAGGAGUUCCUCGGUAAUUCUUCCAGAAGUUCCUCUGGAACUCUUCCAGGAGUUCCUCGGUAAUUCUUCCAGAAGUUUCUCGGGAAUUCUUCUAGAAGUUCCUCGGGAAUUCUUCAAGAAGUUCCUCGGAAAUUCUUCCAGAAGUUCCUCGGAAAUUCUUCCAGAAGUUCCUCGGAAAUUCUUCCAGAAGUUCCUCGGAAAUUCUUCCAGAAGUUCCUCGGAAAUUCUUCCAGAAGUUCCUCGGAAAUUCUUCUAGAAGCUCCUCAUAAAUUCUUGCAGAAGUUCUUCAGCAAUUCUUCCUGAAGUUCCUUGGGAAUUCUUCCAGAAGUUCCUCAGGAAUUCUUCCAGAUAUUCCUCGGGAAUUCUUCCAGAAGUUCUUCAAGAAUUAUUCCAGAAGUUCCUCGUGAAUUUUCCAGAUAUUCCUCCGAAAUUUUUCCAGAAGUUCCUCGGGAAUUCUUCCGGAAGUUCCUCGGGAAUUCCACCUCAUAUUCCAACGGAAUCCUUCCAGAAGUUCCUCGGUAAUUCUUCCAAAACUUCUUUGGGAAUUUAUCCAGAAUUUCCUAGGGAAUUCUUCCAAAAGUUCCUCGGGAAUUCUUUCGAAAGCUCUUCGGGCAUUCUUCUGGAAGUUCCUGGCGAAUUCUUCCAGAAGUUCCUCGGGAAUUCUUCCAGGAGUUCCUCGGGGAUUCUUGCAGAAGUUUUUCGGGAAUAAUUUCAAAAGCUCCUAGAGAAUUCUUCUGGAAGUUCCUCGAGAGUUCUUCCAGAAGUUCCUCGGGUAUUCUUCCAGAAGUUCUUCCACAAAAUCUUCCACAAAAUCUUCCACAAGUUCCUUAGUAAUUCUUCCAUAAGUUCCUCGGGAGUUCUUCAAGAAGUUUUUCGGGAAUUCUUCCAGAAGUUUCUCAGGAAUUUUUCCAGGAGUUUCUCGGGAGUUCUUCCACAAGUUCCUCUGGAAAUCUUCCAGAUGUUUCUCGGGAAUUCUUUUCGUAGUUCUUCGGGAUUCUUCCAGAAGUUCCAAAGUAAUUCUUCUAAGAGUUCCUCGGAAAUUCUUCCAGAAGUUCCUGGGUAUUCUUUUAGAAAUUCAUCGGGCAUUCUUCCAGUUGUCUAUCGGGAAUUCUUUCAGAGGUUCCUAGGGAAUUCCUCCAGAAGUUCCUCGGAAAUUCCUUAAGGAGUUCCUCGGGAAUUCUUUCUCGGAAAAUAAUUAAAUAAUUCCUAAAAAUUCCCAAGGAUUCUCAGAAAUUCCCAGUCAUCUGAGAUGUAUUCUACGGAUUAAAGAAAAUAUUCUCAAUCAUUUAUGUGAGUCAAAAGCAUAUAAGAAAAUGAUUAAAUAAUUACUGAAAAUCCCUCAGGAUUCUCAGAAAUUCUUAUUCAUCUGGGAUAUAUCCUACGAAUUUAGAAAAAAUAUUUUCAAUCAUUUAUGUGAUUCAAAAGCAACUCGGAAAAUAUUUAAAUAAUUCCUGAAAAUCCCUUAGGAUUCUCAGAAAUUCCCAGUCAUCUGGGAUGUAUCCUUUGAAUUUAUGAAAAUAUUCUCAUUCAUUUAUGUGAGGCAAAAGCAUCUCGGAAAAGUUUUAAAUAAUAACUGAAAAUUCCUAAGGAUUCUCAGAAAUACCUAGUCAUCUGGGAUGUAUCCUACGAAUUUAAGAAAAUAUUCUCAAUCAUUUCCGAGCAUCUCGGAAAAUAUUUGAAUAAUUGAUGAAAAUCCCUUAGGAUUCUCAGAAAUUUCCAGUCAUUUGGGAUGUAUCCUACGAAUUUAACCCAAAAAGGGAUACCUGGGGUCCAUUGGACCCCAGGCGCCUUUCAGAGCUCGUCUUUGAUGGAACACACUCAGCGGGGUGACGAAACUGAGGCCAUGAAGGUAUCCCUUUUAAGUUAAGAAAAUAUUGUAAAUCAUUUAUGUGAGUCAAAAGCAUCUCGGAAAAUAUUUGAAUAAUUCCUGAAAAUCCCUAGGGAUUCUCAGAAAUUCCCAGUCAUCUGGGAUGUAUCCUACGAAUUUAAGAAAAUAUUCUCAAUCAUUUUUGUGAACCAAAAGCAUCCGGAAAAUAUUUAAAUAAUUCCUGAAAAUCCCUUAGGAUUCUUAGAAAUUCCCAGUCAUCUGGGAUGUAUUCCACGAAUUUAAGAAAAUAAUCUCAAUCAUUUAUGUGAGUCAAAAGCAACUCGGAAAAUAUUUGAAUAAUUCCUGAAAAUUCCUACGGAUUCUCAGAAAUUCUCAGUCAUCUGAGAUGUAUUCUACGAAUUUAAGAAAAUAUUCUCAAUCAUAUGUGAUUCAAAAGCAUCCUGGAAAAUAUUGAAAUAAUUCCAGAAAAUCCCUUAGGAUUCUCAGAAAUUCCCAGUCAUCUGGGAUGUAUCCUACGAAUUUAAGAAAAUAUUCUCAAUCAUUUCACGGUGUGUCUGGUAGAACAAAAUUAAUUUAAAAAAAAUCGGUAUCGCUAAAACACCCACCAAACGAAAGCUGAAGGUCCCCUCUUUCAUUUGAGACUAAAAUGAGAAAGUUCUAUCGGCGGGUCUAGAACAUUUUUUUUU